UGCCUGGCCAAAGAACUUAUUAACAUUAGUGUCACUAAAGUUGGUAUACAACCCCCACUGCUAAACUUGACUGGCAAAAA
RNAcentral lists this small RNA (80 nucleotides) under Microcebus murinus (gray mouse lemur). RNAcentral describes it as "Y RNA (ENSMICG00000044824.1)". The record is from RNAcentral. Lineage: Eukaryota; Metazoa; Chordata; Mammalia; Primates; Cheirogaleidae.